UGGGGAAUUUUGGACAAUGGGCGCAAGCCUGAUCCAGCCAUGCCGCGUGAGUGAAGAAGGCCUUCGGGUUGUAAAGCUCUUUCGCAAGGGAAGAAAACGUGUGGGCUAAUAUCCUGCGCGGAUGACGGUACCUUGACAAGAAGCACCGGCUAACUACGUGCCAGCAGCCGCGGUAAUACGUAGGGUGCGAGCGUUAAUCGGAAUUACUGGGCGUAAAGCGUGCGCAGGCGGUUGUGUAAGACAGGUGUGAAAUCCCCGGGCUUAACCUGGGAACUGCGCUUGUGACUGCACGGCUAGAGUACGGCAGAGGGGGGUGGAAUUCCUGGUGUAGCAGUGAAAUGCGUAGAUAUCAGGAGGAACACCGAUGGCGAAGGCAGCCCCCUGGGCCUGUACUGACGCUCAUGCACGAAAGCGUGGGGAGCAAACAGG
RNAcentral lists this ribosomal RNA (429 nucleotides) under uncultured Azoarcus sp. RNAcentral's name for it is "bacterial SSU rRNA". It matches the Rfam family "Bacterial small subunit ribosomal RNA", at positions 355 to 776 of the family's 1533-position model. Lineage: Bacteria; Pseudomonadati; Pseudomonadota; Betaproteobacteria; Rhodocyclales; Zoogloeaceae. The record is from RNAcentral.